Long non-coding RNA from Megachile rotundata (alfalfa leafcutting bee), 2263 nucleotides. The record is from RefSeq and is a predicted model, not a curated record. NCBI's taxonomy places the organism in Eukaryota, Metazoa, Arthropoda, Insecta, Hymenoptera, Megachilidae.
AUGAGGUUUGCCUUCUCAAGAGAAUGAAAAACGUUUCCUUGUGUAUCACACGUUUGGUCGCUAGACCACUAAGCUUAAUUGAUUAAAAUGAGCGGGAAUACUUCCUCUUUUGGAAAAAUUCUUUUCUUCUUUGGAUUUGGAGCAAAAAUCGUUGACCACUUGUUACAUACCAUCAAAGGAAAUUAUCACGAAUAAUCUUCAAUCCUUUAAUAUGUACAUUUAAUCCAUGCACGCGGACAAGGCGGAGGUUUAAUGAAGAAAUAUUGUAGUUUUUAAUAGACUUUUGUAAACAUAUCCAAUAGUUAAUGGAUGAAAUUUGAUGGAAAAUAAUGAAACAUUUAUAUUAGUACGUUAUAUUUGUAUAGAACUGAAAGAUUAAUCAUUUGUCUAUACGAGCUACUUUAUCCUGGAUAAUCAUUUAUCAGAGUUUACAACAUCGCAUAAAUUAUCCUCGGUAAGAAACCAAAUCAUAACUCGGACGUUUUUGCGCUUAAUUUUCAUCUCAAAUGUUCACUCAAUGUUCAGACACAUUAAUGUUUCUUCAAUUUAAUAUUAGUGUGGAAUUUGUGAAACUGUACCGCUAAUACCAUUUAACGGUGCAGUAGUAAAUGACGUAGGAAAUACUGAAUUUCAAAGAUUUUACCGGUAUAUGUUAUCGGAAAAUCGACGUUUUGAACUUUUCUGACGAACUACACACAUUGCCCUUAUUUAUAAAUUCAAACAGAAAGUAAUUUCUUCUUUGAUUGCUCUCAUCGUUAGAUGGCGCUAAUUGUAUCUUUUUCGUGAUAUGCGUUGAUUAAAUAAAAAUUAUAUUAUGGUAAAAUGAUUGUUUGCGUUCAAACGCUUUCAAAGAGAAAAUAAAUUUAAGAACAUUGAUUCGGAAGAACGACUUUAUUUGUUAAUAAAAAGUUCUUCAUUCACUUGAUACAUUUAAUCACCCUAACUAGAAGGAUGUUAUAAGUACAAACAUCUAUCUGAAAUUGAUACAUAUUCCAAUUCCUGUACUUAUUCGCAAGUUUCAUCGUUACUUUUUAAAAAUGCAUUUUCAUCUAAAAGUCUGGUUUAAAUAUGAAGUAUCGGUAAUUGUACAUAAUAGUGCUGACAAUACAUGAAAUUUCACAACAUGACAAUUCUAUCAGCUUCAGUUCGUUCUUGAUAACAUAAUUGUCAGCACUAUUGAAUAACUAAUCAAAUCCUCCUUAUUUCUUUAGCACGAAUACAAGCCUACCGUAAUCUAAGCCGCUAAAAGUACUUAGUCAAAAAAUAGUCGAAAAAUGUAUCGUGGAAAAAUGAAUAAAUUUGUAUAAUUAAAUACGGAGGAGUUCGUUAAUUGUUCGCGAGUAAUUAUUAUUUUUUUUUUUAGAAUACACAAUCUAAAAAUCUUUCAUAGUUCAGACCGCUCUGCUUGGUAUUCAAGUUUGUUAGUUAACGAGUCAUCUAUUUGACGUAUAAAAAUGACACUUCUAUUACUUUCAUCUAACCGAGAAGAAUUAUAAUGAGCUUGAAAAAAUGUUGCUAAUAAACGUAAGUUCGAUUAUAAUUCUGAUCGGAUUAUUAUGAGUAUAUUUAUUAUUUAAUUUAAAUAUGAACUAAACUGCGAACAAUUAAAGAAGUCCACGUUGCAUUACAAAUUUAUUAUUCAAUAUUAGUCGCAAUAGUAUUAACAAUAGUACCAGUGGAUCUUCAGGUAUGUACAUAUAAAAUAUUUGAUGAAAAAAUCAUGAACUAAACACGAUGAUUACGUAAAACAUAUAAAAGAAAAGAAGUGAAAACAAAAAUAUAAUGAACGAAUAUUUUUUGUGAGUUUUAUUUAUAAAAUAGAAAUUAAUGUACAAGUACAAGGGGAAUAGACAUGAUUGUUGUUUCUUUCUCUCGUGCUAACUUUUACAAUAUGAUACUUUAUGAUGAAUUUUUGUCAUAUGUAAUUUAUAGUGACAUCACUUAGGAAAAUGGUGUACAGUAUUGCCUCGAAAUAAGCAACAGCUUCGAGCUUCGACAUUAGCGAAUUUCUAUCCCCACUUCUUUAAUUGAAGUCGGCUGCUGAGUGAGAAAUCAGAAGCUAAUCAUUUUUGACCGAUAAGAAGACAGAACAUGUAUAUUGUUUUCUAACUCUAACACACAGUGAUUCAAAAAGCAAAAGCAAGCCGAAUAGCAUACCACCUUCGAAAUGAGCAACUGCCCGGAACGUAUUGCUUAUUUCGAGGCAAUACUGUAUGAUCUAAACGGUGCAUGAAGGGAAGCAUGUAAAAAGAAUGAACAAAAU